GACGAACGCUGGCGGCGUGCUUAACACAUGCAAGUCGAACGGAAAGGCCCUGCUUUUGUGGGGUGCUCGAGUGGCGAACGGGUGAGUAACACGUGAGUAACCUGCCCUUGACUUUGGGAUAACUUCAGGAAACUGGGGCUAAUACCGGAUAGGAGCUCCUGCUGCAUGGUGGGGGUUGGAAAGUUUCGGCGGUUGGGGAUGGACUCGCGGCUUAUCAGCUUGUUGGUGGGGUAGUGGCUUACCAAGGCUUUGACGGGUAGCCGGCCUGAGAGGGUGACCGGCCACAUUGGGACUGAGAUACGGCCCAGACUCCUACGGGAGGCAGCAGUGGGGAAUAUUGCACAAUGGGCGGAAGCCUGAUGCAGCAACGCCGCGUGCGGGAUGACGGCCUUCGGGUUGUAAACCGCUUUCGCCUGUGACGAAGCGUGAGUGACGGUAAUGGGUAAAGAAUCACCGGCUAACUACGUG
This 468-nucleotide ribosomal RNA is filed under the name uncultured bacterium. Its description in RNAcentral is "partial 16S ribosomal RNA". It matches the Rfam family "Bacterial small subunit ribosomal RNA", at positions 28 to 507 of the family's 1533-position model. The record is from RNAcentral.